This 21-nucleotide non-coding RNA is filed under the name Caenorhabditis elegans. The record is from RNAcentral. Lineage: Eukaryota; Metazoa; Nematoda; Chromadorea; Rhabditida; Rhabditidae.
UGCAUUCUUCAAAUUAAAGUU